GACGAACGCUGGCGGCGUGCCUAAUACAUGCAAGUCGAACGCAGUUGCGAACGGGUGAGUAACGCGUAGGUAACUGCCUCAUAGCGGGGGAUAACUCUUGGAAACGAUAGCUAAUACCGCAUACUGUGAGAUGGACCUGCUUUGUGUUAGCUAGUUGGGGAGGGAAAGGCUCACCAAGGCGACGAUACUUUGCCGAGCUGAGAGGGUGGUGCGCCAACGUGGGGACGAGACAAGGCCCCAGCUCCUUCGGGAGGGAACAGUAGGGAAUCUUCGGAAAUGGAGGGAAGUCUGACCGAGCAAAGGCGGGUGGGUGGAGGAGGUUUUCGGGUCGUAAAGCUAUGUUGUUAGGGAAGCGGUAACUAAACAGAAAGGGACGGCUAACUACGUGCCAGCAGCCGCGGUAAUAC
Molecule: ribosomal RNA, 407 nt
Filed under: uncultured bacterium
Lineage: Bacteria
Description: partial 16S ribosomal RNA
Rfam family: Bacterial small subunit ribosomal RNA
Source: RNAcentral